CGGUAAUACGGAGGAUCCUAGCGUUAUCCGGAUUUAUUGGGUUUAAAGGGUGCGUAGGCGGAAUAAUAAGUCAGUGGUGAAAUCCGGCAGCUUAACUGUAGAAUUGCCAAUGAUACUGUUAUUCUUGAAUGCAGUUGAGGUAGNCGGAAUGUGUAAUGUAGCGGUGAAAUGCUUAGAUAUUACCCAGAACACCGAUUGCGUAGGCAGCUUGCUAAACUGUGAUUGACGCUGAGGCACGAAAGCGUGGGUAGCAAACAGGAUUAGAUACCCUGGUAGUCCACGCCGUAAACGAUGAUUACUCGAUGUGUGCAAUAUAUCGUACGCGUCCGAGCGAAAGCAUUAAGUAAUCCACCUGGGGAGUACGGCCGCAAGGUUGAAACUCAAAGGAAUUGACGGGGGCCCGCACAAGCGGAGGAACAUGUGGUUUAAUUCGAUGAUAUGCGAGGAACCUUACCUGGGCUUAAAUGUAUUCUGACGUUCCGGGAAACUGGAAUUCCCUUCGGGGCAGAUUACAAGGUGCUGCAUGGUUGUCGUCAGCUCGUGCCGUGAGGUGUCGGGUUAAGUCCCAUAACGAGCGCAACCCCUAUUGUUAGUUGCCAGCGGAUAAUGCCGGGGACUCUAACGAAACUGCCAGUGUAAACUGUGAGGAAGGUGGGGAUGACGUCAAAUCAGCACGGCCCUUACGUCCAGGGCUACACACGUGUUACAAUGGUCGGUACAAAGGGCAGCUACCACGCGAGUGGAUGCUAAUCUCCAAACCGAUCUUAGUUCGGAUUGAAGUCUGCAACUCGACUUCAUGAAGCUGGAUUCGCUAGUAAUCGCACAUCAGCCAUGGUGCGGUGAAUACGUUCCCGGGCCUUGUACACACCGCCCGUCAAGCCAUGGAAGCCGGGGUACCUGAAGUCCGUAACC
RNAcentral lists this ribosomal RNA (912 nucleotides) under uncultured organism. RNAcentral describes it as "bacterial SSU rRNA". It matches the Rfam family "Bacterial small subunit ribosomal RNA", at positions 518 to 1435 of the family's 1533-position model. The record is from RNAcentral.